AGUAGGGUCAGCUAAACAAGCUAUCGGGCCCAUACCCCGAAAAUGCCACUAGGCCCCUAAUA
RNAcentral lists this transfer RNA (62 nucleotides) under Nerodia sipedon. RNAcentral describes it as "tRNA-Met". Lineage: Eukaryota; Metazoa; Chordata; Lepidosauria; Squamata; Natricidae. The record is from RNAcentral.